This 118-nucleotide ribosomal RNA is filed under the name Vibrio cholerae. Its description in RNAcentral is "partial 16S ribosomal RNA". It matches the Rfam family "Bacterial small subunit ribosomal RNA", at positions 1 to 111 of the family's 1533-position model. The record is from RNAcentral. Lineage: Bacteria; Pseudomonadati; Pseudomonadota; Gammaproteobacteria; Vibrionales; Vibrionaceae.
UAAUUGAAGAGUUUGAUCAUGGCUCAGAUUGAACGCUGGCGGCAGGCCUAACACAUGCAAGUCGAGCGGCAGCACAGAGGAACUUGUUCCUUGGGUGGCGAGCGGCGGACGGGUGAGU